AACACCGCUUCCCAGCUCUUUGGGAACGGAAGCCUUGAUGAAAACUUCGGGGAAAGUUGUAGAACUGGCAAGUGAAAUGACCUCGUGGCGUCAUUCUGGGGAAUUAACUUCACAAUAUACGUCAGAGAAUCCCUUGGACACAGGACUUGUGAAGAAGAAAUCUGAUUUCUCUCACUAAGUGGGACUGCCUGGAGCUUCCUUCCCUACCUGCUACUUCAUAAGGAUCAGAGCCACCACGUGACCAGCUGUUGGUCUCCACCCUCACAGCAGAAGAGCAGCGUUUGUCACACAGUGGAAGUGCUUCUCUGUUAUGUCCACACUGCAAGAGCUCUCUGAUCUAGGACAGCAGUCCAUCAUUUGGAAGGCCACUAUGAGGGCACUCCUGGGAGCACACAUAUUCUCUGUGCUGCUGAGAACUGAGGGUAGACACAGACCAUGUUGUGUGUCAGAGUCAAUGCAAGGCAGCAUCAGGAUGGGAAGCCAUGCUAAUGACAGACCCGAAGGGAGUAAAGACCCGGAGUCCAUGAGCUGCCUGGAGUUGGGGUAGGACCGGCCUCUCACCCGAGUCCUUAAGCUGUGUCUGCCCCCUGAGUACAGAGGGGUAAGUGCCACACAGAACAAGGCACCAUGAAGAGGUGUAUGUACCCCUCAUGUGUUGAAAUCCCAGCCCAUGUGCCUGUCAUAGGAGGUAGAGUUUUGGAAGGUGAGUGGCAUAUGACUUAGUUGUCCCAU
Molecule: long non-coding RNA, 732 nt
Filed under: Mus caroli (Ryukyu mouse)
Lineage: Eukaryota; Metazoa; Chordata; Mammalia; Rodentia; Muridae
Description: predicted gene 28865 (MGP_CAROLIEiJ_G0006069.1)
Source: RNAcentral